RNAcentral lists this transfer RNA (83 nucleotides) under Candidatus Bathyarchaeota archaeon. Its description in RNAcentral is "tRNA-Leu". It matches the Rfam family "tRNA". From Rfam's summary of the family: Transfer RNA (tRNA) molecules are approximately 80 nucleotides in length. Their secondary structure includes four short double-helical elements and three loops (D, anti-codon, and T loops). RNAcentral also lists the same sequence under 1 other name. The record is from RNAcentral. Lineage: Archaea; Thermoproteati; Candidatus Bathyarchaeota.
GCGGGGUUAGCCAAGUGGUCAAAGGCGACAGGCUUAGGACCUGUUGGCGAAGGCCUUCGUGGGUUCGAAUCCCACACCCCGCA